RNAcentral lists this ribosomal RNA (497 nucleotides) under uncultured bacterium. RNAcentral describes it as "partial 16S ribosomal RNA". It matches the Rfam family "Bacterial small subunit ribosomal RNA", at positions 28 to 507 of the family's 1533-position model. The record is from RNAcentral.
GACGAACGCUGGCGGCGUGCCUAAUACAUGCAAGUUGAGCGCUGAAGGUUGGUACUUGUACCAACUGGAUGAGCAGCGAACGGGUGAGUAAAGCGUGGGGAAUCUGCCUUUGAGCGGGGGACAACAUUUGGAAACGAAUGCUAAUACCGCAUAAAAACUUUAAACACAAGUUUUAAGUUUGAAAGAUGCAGUUGCAUCACUCAAAGAUGAUCCCGCGUUGUAUUAGCUAGUUGGUGAGGUAAAGGCUCACCAAGGCGAUGAUACAUAGCCGACCUGAGAGGGUGAUCGGCCACAUUGGGACUGAGACACGGCCCAAACUCCUACGGGAGGCAGCAGUAGGGAAUCUUCGGCAAUGGACGAAAGUCUGACCGAGCAACGCCGCGUGAGUGAAGAAGGUUUUCGGAUCGUAAAACUCUGUUGGUAGAGAAGAACGUUGGUGAGAGUGGAAAGCUCAUCAAGUGACGGUAACUACCCAGAAAGGGACGGCUAACUACGUG